Non-coding RNA from Podarcis lilfordi (Lilford's wall lizard), 16146 nucleotides. Lineage: Eukaryota; Metazoa; Chordata; Lepidosauria; Squamata; Lacertidae. The record is from the annotation of a GenBank genome assembly.
GAUAGAACCAAUGGCAUCACCAGGGAGAGGGAACAGGUUUACUCACUUCCUCAGCGAUGUCCCCACGUUCUCUGCUUCAUUAUAACCUAUGUAAGUGAAUGUUUCCUAUUCAUGGAGUUGCCUAAGUUCUCAUUGGCAGGGAUUUCCCUACCUGCCUUGCUCCACCUUCCAGUCUGCUGCUUUUAAUUGAUGCUAUGCGGGUGGCGCUGUGGGUUAAACCACAGAGCCUUGGGCUUGCCGAUCAGAAGGUCGGCGGUUCGAAUCCCCGUGAUGGGGUGAGCUCCCGUUGCUUGGUCCCUGCUCCUGCCAACCUAGCAGUUCAAAAGCACGCAGUGCAAGUAGAUAAAUAGGUACCGCUCUGGAGGUAAGGUAAACGGCGUUUCCGUGCACUGCUCUGGUUCACCAGAAGCGGCUUAGUCAUGCUAGCCACAUGACCCGGAAGCUGUACGCCGGCUCCCUCGGCCAAUACAGUGAGAUGAGCGCUGCAACACCAGAGUUGGUCACGACUGGACCUAAUGGUCAGGGGUCCCUUUACCCUUACCUAACUUUAUAUUUUACAGUUAUGAUUUUGAUUCGGAAUGCUAUUUUAGUUUUAAUGUAGUUAUUUGCAUUCCCCCCUCUCUCACACCCACACUGCUAGCUAAUGUCCCAGUUUUGUGAACCAUCUUGAGAAGAGUUGAUUAACCCUGCUGCCCUGCCCUCCCUUGGGAAGAAAGACCAGAUAUAAAUUAAAAUAAAUAAAUGGUUAAGAAUUUCAUACAAUUAUUACUGGUUAUAUUUCUGAGCAUACGAUUACUAGGAGGGGAAACAUGGCAGCUGUUGUUCAUUCAUUUAAACAAUUAUUUUAUUUGAAUAAAUUAUUAAGAGCGAAUUUUAGAAAUUUCAGAAAAGAAUAUGCAGUAAGGCAUAUUAAACUAAGCAAUUAUGAACAUGCAUUCCAAGUUUGGAUUGGUCUGAAGAGGGUAUACAAAGGAUUAUUGGGAAGGAUGCAAGUUUUUAGAUAACUUAUAUAGAAUUUAACCACCAAGUUGAAAUACAGCAUUUAGUUUUGGAAAUGAAUGAACAACUGCCACCAUGGUUAUUCUCUAAUAAUCAUAUGCUGAUAAAUGUAACUAAUAGUGUUCAGGAGCAAUACUUGUAUGAAGUCUUUUACACGGUAAUCAGCUCAGAAGGUCAGAGCACUAAUGACAAACUGGAAAUUAAUCAUGGCCCCACAGUUACUAUUAAGGCAGUAGAGAAUCUAAUUUUGCAACUGACUAAUGAUACAUUUCCAGGUGAGGACAGUAUUCCUUGUGAAGUUUUUUAAUGUAGUCUAGUCUGAUGGGAUCCACCUCUUAUGGUCAGUGCCUUGAGUUUAGAAAGUUGCUUUCCCGUGCAUGGAACUCAAAUGCCACUGUUUAUAUGAACGGCAGUAGUAAACUUUCCAGUUGAAGGCCUAUGAGUUACAACUUGGUUCAAUGUUAUGCCAGAUAUUUGUUAAGUGAACCUGAGCAUCUGCAACCCCAUCAUUCUUAUUUUCCUAGACACUAAGGUCCAGCAACAAGGGCCUUCUGGUGCUUCCGUCACUACGAGCGGUGAGGUUGCAGGGAACCAGGCAAAGGGCCUUCUCGGUAGUGGUGGCCUCCCAGAAGAUGUCAAGGAAAUAAACAACUACAGUAGUACCUCGGGUUACAGACGCUUCAGGUUACAGACACUUCAGGUUACAGACUCCGCUAAUCCAGAAAUAGUACCUUGGGUUAAGAACUUUGCUUCAGGAUGAGAGCAGAAAUCGUGUGGCAGUGGCACGGCGGCAGUGGGAGGCCCCAUUAGCUAAAGUGGUACCUCAAGAACAGUUUCAGGUUAAGAACAGACCUCUAGAACAAAUUAAAUUCUUAACCCGAGGUACCACUGUAUCUGACUUUUAGAAGACAUCUGAAGGCAGCCCUGUAUAGGGAAGUUUUUAAUGUUUGAUGUUUACUGUGCUUAAGGUUUUAAUUGUUGGAAACCACCCUGAGUGGCUGGGGCAACCCAGUCAGAUGGGAACAACAACAACAACAACAACAACAACAACAACAGCAACAACACAUAUAUAUGGAGGAUUAGGCAGUACGUAAAGGCCCUAUGGAUGCAGCUCAAUAGCAGAACAACUACUUUGCAUAUACAGUGGUACCUCGGGUUACAGACGCUUCAGGUUACAGACUCCGCUAACCCAGAAAUAGUACCUCGGGUUAAGAACUUUGCUUCAGGAUGAGAACAGAAAUUGCUCGGUGGCAGCGGGAGGCUAAAGUGGUAUCUCAGGUUAAGAACAGUUUCAGAACAGACCUCCAGAACGAAUUAAGUUCUUAACCCGAGGUACCACUGUAGAAGGUCCAAGUCCAAUCCCAAGUAUCUUCAGGUAGGGGUAGGAGAGACCUAUGCCUGAGACGAUGGAGAGUGUGAAUUUGUUGGAUUAGUGGUCAAGUCAAUAUAAGGCAAGUUCUGUGUAUCUACAUUUUGUGUGAAGCACAAUCGGGAUUUAGCUAUGGUUACUUUACAGGGACUCAGGUGGUGCUGUGAUCUAAACCACGGAGCCUCUUGGGCUUUCCGAUCAGAAGGUCAGCAGUUUGAAUCUGCUCAAUGGGAUGAGCUCCCGUUGCUGUGUCCCAGCUCCUGCCUACCUAGCAGUUCGAAAGCAUACCAGCGCAAGUAGAUAAAUAGGUACCACUGCAAUGGGAAUGUAAACAGCAUAUCCAUGCGCUCUGACUUCUGUCGCAGUGUCCCAUUGCAUCAGAAGUGGUUUAGUCAUGCUGGCCACAUGACCCAGUAAAGCUGUCUGCGGACAAACGCCGGCUCCCUCGGCCUGAAAGUGGAAAUGACCAUCGCACCCCAUGGCCGAAUUCGACUGGACUUAACCAUCCAGGGGUCCUUUAUCUUUACCUUACUCUACAGUAGGCAGCUGCUUAGUCCUCAAACAUCUUGAUCCCUAAAUAUGUUAAGUUAGCAAAUUUUCAUUGACCUGCAGGCCUUGUUAAUUUAAAAGCUUCUUUGGAUAUGACUGACAACAAUUCUGGGAUAAAUUGGCAAAUGCCAAUCUGGACCACCACUUGCUGCUGCUAGUAAAAACACGUCAGAGAGAUACCGACCUCAGAUUUUAACAUCUUCCUCCAGAUUUCUGACAAAUCAUAUUCUAGCAAAACUAAGGAGGGUGUGUAUUCUUUGCUUUUUCUAUAAAUGAUAUUGGAGCAAACCUUAGCAGAGAUCAUCCCCGCUUGCCAGAAGGGGUUGAGGGUGGAAUUAACCAUCAAUAUUUUAUUUAUGCAGACAACACAGUGCUUUUGCCUCAAACUGAAAUAGAUCUCCAAAUAGACUGUCAGUAGUUCUUUGCACUUAUUGUAAAAGAGCUAAAAAUAGCGUAUGGAAAAAACUCCAGUGUAGCUGGUCUUGCAGUAAAUGAUUGCCACAGGUACAGCUUCUUUUCUCCUGAAGAGCUGCUAUUUAGUGCUGUGGUCGUCUGGAAGGUUUGAUUCUGAUUCAAGUAUUGUAGCUGCAUUGAUAUGGAUACACUUUCUACCUGUUUGAGGGGGGCAGGAUUAUCAGCAGGAUGCGAAAGCUCCUGUUCAAGCUAGCUGGGCAUCUAAACGUGCCCAAUGAAAGCUAUAAAUGGUUUCUCUGUCACUGAGAAAAUUCAAGUUGGCCAUGAGCGUCCUACUCAUGGGACUCACAUCAUCCUUUUCAUCACAACAAACCUGGAGGAUGUAAAGCAAGACCAGUGAGGUGUAUUGGCUGGGGAGAGGUACAGUGGUACCUCGGGUUAAGAACUUAAUUCAUUCUGGAGAUCCGUUCUUAACCUGAAACUGUUCUUAACCUGAGGUACCACUUUAGCUAAUGGGGCCUCCCGCCGCCACCAUGCUGCCGACGCACAAUUUCUGUUCUCAUCCUGAAGCAAAGUUCUUAACCCAAGGUACUAUUUCUGGGUUAGCGGAGUCUGUAACCUGAAGCGUCUGUAACCUGAAGCAUCUGUAACCUGAGGUACCACUGUAGUGUAUUUUGGGAGAGGCUACAGUGUGUUUCUUUUUUUGUUGUGGUUUGUGCUUUUAUCUACAUUAACCUUUUACUUUUGACAAAAAAGAUAUUUAAUAAUAAAUUUUGUAUACCUUUUUUUCCUAAAUUCCAAUAAAAUCUAUUUUUUAAAAAAGUAUCCUGGCCAUUUAGUGCCCUGUGAAGAUACAACAGCCUUGAACUAGAGUUGUGCACAGAGGGCCUCUUGAAGUUCUCAUUUGUGAGCAGAGAAACUGGGAGAACCAUUUCAUUAAACAUCUCCAGUCAAGUGAGAAUUUCUCCACCAGUUUCUUGAGGGUGGGGCCCUUUUUCACAAGGGUUUUUGUUUGCUGUUGGUUUUUGCUGCUGCUGCAAAUGCUGCUUUGUUAUACAGUGGUACCUUGGGUUACAUACGCUUCAGGUUACAGACUCCGCUAACCCAGAGAUAGUGCUUCAGGUUAAGAUGAGAACAGAAAUAAUAAUAAUAAUAAUAAUAAUAAUAAUAAAUAAUAAUAAUAAUAAUAAAAUUUAUUAUUUAUACCCCACCCAUCUGGCUGGGCUUCCCCAGCCACUCUGGGCGGCUUCCAACAAAAUAUUAAAAUACAGUAAUGCAUCAAACAUUAAAAGCUUCCCUAAACAGAGCUGCCUUCAGAUGUCUUCUAAAAAUCUGGUAGUUGUUGUUCUCUUUGACAUCUGGUGGGAUGGCGUUCCACAGGGUGGGCGCCACAACCGAGAAGGCCUUCUGCCUGGUUCCUUGUAACUUGGCUUCUCGCAGUGAGGGAACCGCCAGAAGGCCCUCGGCACUGGACCUCAGUGUCCGGGUAGAACGAUGGCGCGGCAGCAGCAAGAGGCCCCUAUUAGCUAAAGUGGUGCUUCAGGUUAAGAACAGUUUCAGGUGAAGUACGGACCUCCGGAACGAAUUAAGUACUUAACCCGAGGUACCACUGUACUCAGUCAAGUUUAUAUUUUGGGGUGGGUUAGUCUAGAGCUCCCUUCAAAUCUCUGAUUCUACAAAAUAGAAGCUCCACACAGUGUAUAACCUGAGUGAGCUCAUGAGAAUAUUCUGUUAUUGAUUGGACUGUCCUAUUUUGACAGCCUACACGAAAAAGUCACCCCCCCACCUCCUUAAAGGCAUAAGUCUAAGGGUUUGUGUGCUGGCCCGGGGGGGGGGGUUUACCGUGCGGCGUGGUCUAAGUCCGGUCCUAGGUCGAGGGUAAGGAGGCUGUCCAUUAGGGGCGAAGCAAGAUCCAAAGCGAGGAGUUGGGUGUGGUCAGGAACUCAGGAGAGCAGCUCAGGGUGCCAGCAGGAACAGGUAACCAACAAGGUUGCUCCCGCAACCGGGGACUGGGCGGGCUAGCCUUUAUCUCCUCUGAGGCAUAGGGCGGUCCUGGCCCACAGGUGAUUCGCCUCUCCUGGCCUGGAGGCGAGCACUCCUCCUGUGAGAACUUAGUUCCCUCCGCCUCUCUGCCCUGAGCCUCUUCAGCUCCGGAGAGGCUGGAGGGUUACUGGACCCAGAGGCAACCUCCUCCUCCCCUGACGGGGCUGAGAGUGGAGCACCUGCAGGCAAUGGGUCCUCCAUCACCUCCGGAGCCAGAGUGGAUUCAGCUGAUGUCUGCUCCUGAGGACCCAGCACAGGUGAGGACCCUUCAGGCUCAAGCCCCAGCCCCGGCUCAGCUGGUUCUGGAGGUGGGGACUCCUGUGCAGGCUGGGAUUCCUCAGGUUCAGCCUCUGAAUCUGAUUCCCAGGCCAUCAGAGUUUGUUUGUAUCCCUAGAUCUGCUGGAAUGAACAAGUUAGAAUGUGGUGUAUCUUCAGCUCAGCCAGCUGGUUUCCUAGCUCAACGUUCUGGGGCAGGUUGGGGCAGACAAGACAGGCUUACACUGGAUCCUUAGUCCAUGAUUGGUCACGUGACCUGACAACCUGGUGGAAUGCAUGGCAGCAAAAUGGCUAGUGCGAGUCAAGCUGUAUUGUAAUAGCUUGUUUUCGUUCUGCCAAGCUUAGACCAGCUCAGCCUAAAUGGAGCUUGGAUUUGGUAUACUUUGAAUCAGCUUAAUUUAACUUGGCAUGAAUUUCGCUGGCUUCCCAUAUUUAAGAGAUUGCUCCCUAACAUGCACAAACAGGGCAAAAUGCUGAAUUCCUAUUUGCUAAUGAUCACAAGGAGGCAACGGAGCAAAUAGUUAUACUUGCCCUGUCAGUAUCAAAGCACCAUCGAAUGUAUUUCAAUACUAUUGGUCCUCUUGAUAAAGGGACGUGCAUUUGAGAUAUGCAGAUUGUGUUCAUGAUAUCCAGAUAAACAAAUUCAUUUCUGGGUUAAAGGGGAAACCAGUUGAAUUUUUGAAAUCUUGAAAGUUACUAUUAAUAUGAUUUAUUUUGGUUGUUAUUAGUUGUAGUCACACUCCAUGGCUAAACAAUUAAAACUGAAACUGAAUGUGGAGAUAACAGAGAACGUAGCCAACUAUGGCUCGGUAGUACAAGCUCUCGCCAGAGUUAUUUGGAUGCUUAUGCUCUAGACAGGAAACUAGAUUACUGACAUUUUAUUAUUGUAGUUGUAUGUUGCUUGGUUGCUGUUCAGAUUCUAGCUACUGCCCUGUGAUUAGGACGGCAGUUGUAUUGUGUAUUCUGCAUUUGUUAUGGCCUAUGGCUAAAACAAAUAAGAGUGAACAGACAUAACUGAACUGAGUAGGACAAGAUCUAAUUUGCAAUCUGGUUAUCCUGUUAUCAGAGAUGGAUCAAAGCCCAGCUAGAGCGCCACUGUUCCUCUUGCUGCAGUACCCACCUGCAGCAACACAGCCAUGAUGAUGGCAUGAUAUCCUUCUAAGGAGAGAAAGAAAAUGCCCUUCGACGGAUCUAGUGCAUUAAUGAUAAUUUGCACUCUUGGUGGUAUCAGGGCAGUAAGGCACAAUUACACUUUCCAUGCCAUUUGUGACCUGUGAAAGUUUUGGGCCAGUCAGACGGCUUCAUUUCCAUACAGUGCAUGUCCCCAGGGGCAAAGGAAGGGGGUACGGUGGGGGCGAUCUGCCCCGGGUGUCACCACUGAGAGGGGUGACAAAAUGCCGGGCUGCACUCACCAUGGAGCCUGCAGCAUGCCUGAGCCAUGUGUCUUUCCUGGGAGAGACGCGGUGGAUUGGGUGUGCACAGGCUCCAUGUUGCCCAAACGGUCUGCCCGCUGCCUCUCCCCCACCUGUAGGGUGAAGAAGAAGAAGAGUUUGGAUUUGAUAUCCCACUUUAUCACUACCCGAAGGAGUCUCAAAGCGGCUAACAUUCUCCUUUCCCUUCCUCCCCCACAACAAACACUCUGUGAGGUGAGUGGGGCUGAGAAACUUCAAAGAAGUGUGACUAGCCCAAGGUCACCCAGCAGCUGCAUGUGGAGAAGCGGGGAAUCGAACCUGGUUCACCAGAUUACGAGUCUACCAUUCUUAACCACUACACCACACUGGUGGCUGAGUGGGAGGAGGCAGGCAGACUCCAGAGGCCCCACGGGUGUGCCCCGCCCUUGCCCCGCCCCUGGACGCGCCUCCCCAGGCGCCUGAGUGACUUCCUUCACUGCUGCGUUUCCCAUAAGACCCUGCUGAAAACCUGCAACUUUUUAUACGACAAAUGUUCUAGUUGGUGUGUGUUUUUUGUGGUGCUUUGGCAUAAGAGUGUGCGCACACACACCAUUCCCUUCAAGUGUCCCAUUUUAGGCGAGACAUCUCAGAUUGAUAGAAGCUGCCCCGGCUUCUGAGCUCAAUCCUGAAUGUCCUAUUUUGGCUCCUGUGCUCCGGCAGCAGCAGAGCGUGGGACCAAAUGAUGCACGUUUUUUGUUUCCGUGCCGUGGUGCAAGUUAGCUGGCUCACGCUGAAAACCAAACCAAAAACCAGAACCAAAAGAGGCUCUCUUCUUUCUCCUUCUGCCACAGCACUUCCAGAAGGACAUCUGCAGUACUAUUGAUUCUGUUCUGUGGUAAAGGGCAUAUGCCAUAUAGUGAGAGCUUUUGCCACGUGUUAAAAGAUAAGGUCUACCCCAAGAAAAAGGGACGCGGGUGGCGCUGUGGGUUAAACCACAGAGCCUAGGGCUUGCCGAUCAGAAGGUUGGCGGUUCGAAUCCCCGUGGCGGGGUGAGCUCCCGUUGCUCAGUCCCUGCUCCUGCCAACCUAGCAGUUCGAAAGCAUGUCAAAGUGCAAGUAGAUAUAUAGGUACCGCUCCGGCGGGAAGGUAAACGGCAUUUCCGUGCACUGCUCUGGUUCGCCAGAAGCGGCUUAGUCAUGCUGGCCACAUUACCUGGAAGCUGUACGCCGGCUCCCUCGGCCAAUAAAGCGAGAUGAGCGCUGCAACCCCAGAGUCAUCCACGACUGUACCUAAUGGUCAGGGGUCCCUUUACCUUUACCCCAAGAAAGGCUGAGUGGCCGAGAGGAACAUUUCUGACAAAAGGAGGAGUCUGAGAGGAAAAGGAAAAUUCAAAGCUAGACAGGGCAGGGAUAACAACAGGAAGGCUGAAGUUCAUAUAUCCAGUUAAAUAAGCUUCUGUUUUUAGUCUGCAAGCCUCUAUCACUUCAUUUGUGUGGAGAAAUUAUCUUGUUUCCAUUUCCCUGAGGGUUUGUUUUACCUAACAGCUAUGUGAAGUUUUCUGUUUGGCAGAACAUUCAGUCAUGUGAACUCCAACCUAGCAAGGCCAUGGCUUGCCACCUCCAUGAGAGCAAGGGCUCAGUUGCGUCUUCUACCGACAGAAUUUGAAUUACAAGCCCAACUGUGUGGACCAAAUCCUCGAGGGAGAUGUUCACUGUCAGCAAAUAUGUCAGCACUGCAGUAGAAUGAAAAAUAGCACCACAUCUUUGGGCAUUUUAAGUGAUAUCCUUCUGUUUACACUAUUAGUUCAAUCAACAUUACUUUGCUUCUUGCUAAAAUAAUGACAAGGGGAAAACGUUUGUUCAGACUGUCUGAGAGAAGAGGGAAAUGAUGUUAGGCACAGAAUGGGAGGAAAUUAUGUUGACUGAUAACAAAUAUAAUUAGCUCUGAAUUAUUUUGGUUGUUAUCACUAUCAUUCUAGGAAUGCAAAAAUAUCUUCCAGCUUUCUCCCCUUUUUUCCCUGAGCCACAAUUCUUUAUCUUCCAUUUUCUCUCCUAUCCUUUUCACCCAUCGCACCAUGAAAGUGGAGAAGAUGGAAGCAGUGAAGAUGUGGUUUUGUUGGACCCAGUUUUACAUUUUUGGUGCCUGGGUAGAAGCUAUGACCAGUUCUACAGCCCCUCUCACAGAAUUGUGGUUCUUGGCCCAUGUCCUCCUUCCUUGAACGCUUAUUUGUGUGCCUCUCAGGUGCUAGAAGGGUAAUUUCAGCGACAGAGAGUCCUGUAAGCAUGUAUGCCCCAUGGAAUUCCAUGGAUCUAAAUCUUACAGCAGGAUCCCCACUGCAGACAUUACUGUUAUAGCACACAAAAGGUGCGGAUGUGACCGAGGAUGUGAACCAAACAGCGAGCAUGUGACUGGACGGGUAGGGUUGGAAGCACAAGUCUAUGUGCUAUGAUCUAUGUGGGGCUGUCCUUGAAUACUAUUUGGGAAUGCUAACUGGUUCAAAACAUGGGAACUCUGCUGUUGAUUAAGAUUAGCCCUUACCUGGGCUGAAUUUGGCUGGCUUGAGGGUCCUCUCAAAUUAGAAAGGCAGUGAUUUAAAUCCAUAAAGGUGUGUGUGUUGGGAUGGGGACUGAAAUAUGGUGAAUGAUUAUAGUGGGGUAGAGGGUGUGUACCAUCACAAUUCCUCCCCCCACCCCCUUUUAAAAACAGGGAUUGGAGGUUUUUUUAAAGUAUCUGUAGUAGAAAAUGACAGAAUUCCUAAAAGGUCAAGUGUAACCUCGCUGUCCUCAGUGCACACAUUUUGGGAGGGAAAAUUUGAUGGGCAGAGCUUCUGCCACGGCUACUGUUGGCUCACCUCUAAUCAUACCAGAACAGUGUAUAAGAUUAUAAUAACAUCCAUUGUUUUUUUAAAGGAAAAAGGGUACCAGUACUCACCAUGAAGUUGUUAACAGCUGGAAGAAAUGGUGCCAGUACUGUGUGCCCUUAAGUACCCCCAGAAAAAAGCAUUGAGAACUGGUAGCCAGUUGGCUUUUAGGCACAAUUCAAGGUUAAUAAUAAUAAUAAUAAUAAUAAUAAUAAUAAUAAUAAUAAUUUAUUAUUUAUACCCUGCCCAUCUGGCUGGGCUUUCCCAGCCACUCUGGGCGGCUUCCAACAAAAUAUUAAAAUACAGUAAUGCAUCAAACAUUAAAAGUUUCCCUAAACAGGGCUGCCUUCAGAUGUCUUCUAAAAGUCUGGUAGUUGUUCUCUUUGACAUCUGGUGGGAGGGUGUUCCACAGGGCGGGUGCCACUACCAAGAAGGCCCUCUACCUGGUUCCCUGUAACUUGGCUUCUCGCAGUGAGGGAAUGGCCAGAAGGCCCUCGGAGCUGGAUCUCAGUGUCCGGGUAGAACAAUGGGGGUGGAGACGCUCCUUCAGGUUCCUACCUUUACAGAUGAAAUGGCUUGCAACUAGGGUACACCAAGGAAUGGUUUCUACCAUUCCACCCAUCUUGCUAGUUAGCAUCUCCCAUGUGCUCUGGCUCUGGGAAGGUCUGAGGCACCUUAUGAGAUCUUCCAUCAAGGACAACAGCCACCAGAGUGUAGACUGAUGCUGAGAGAUGCUGCUUUAAGUGACACCCCAACUCUAUGCAUAAUGUACUGUUUCACCCUAUUGUUUCAGCCUAUGGUCCUGCAAAAUCAAAGGUCACCUCCAAAUUUAUAGUUUGCCAAAGAAAAUCAAUUAAACUCCUUUAACACAAAACCCAUAGUUCAGAAGCUCCAGCGGCAUAAAUUCCAUUCACUGACUCCCAUCAUGCAACCCUUAGUUAUUUGAUUUAGAGAAAAAUGGGGCAGUGUCCUUUUACCUCGCAGUUCCCAGUGUUUAACGAAGCCUCUAAAAUUUAGUCUUGUGGAGUGGAAAGGUUGCCUUCCAUGUAUUUCAUCCGAACGGCUAAUUACAGAGAAGGUGGUUUAUGUUCAUAAAACCAGAUGGAAACCCAUGUACAGAUCCUUCCCCUCCUUGUGCUCUUUUCCUGCCUAGAGUCUUGACGCUGCUGACAGCUUCGAGGGUCACCCAGCAUGAAUUAGUCACCUGGACCUGGGAACCAGCCAGCUAAUGUAAUGGACUGUCAAUGUGUGUCCAGAUCGACAGCAAUCGAUGGGGCAAGCUUAAAAAGAAUAAUUAGAGGCGACGCGAAAGAAAGACUCUGAAUACAGUGAGUGGAGUACAAUACAGCUCAUUAGUGGGCUUCUGAGGCCAGCGUCCCUUGCCCUUGGCAGUACUAGAGGUCCCCAGCUUCCUUUCUCUGGGCUUUGGGCCAUAGGAACUGGAGGGUGGCAGGCAGAAUUGUUUGUUCAAUUCCUUCGCUGCAUUUGGCUAGCACAAGCUGCUGGCACCAUGCAGCAGUCAUUUGUAGAAAGGCAUUCAUAUACAACGUGAUUGGCUGCUCUGCUCUGCUCUCUGUAGCCAAUUGCAAGUCAUUAGAGAGUUCUCCGGCAGUCUUCAUUGGCUUACCGUUGCAUCUGGAUGAAGCUCAAGAUGCAGAAUAGAAUUCGACAAAGGUACCCCUGGUUUGCUAACCUCCUCCGUACCCAGGGGGCAAACUGGCAUGUUAUGACCUGAAGCCUCUUUCUCUCUCGCUGCCACAAGAAAAGCCACUUUGGCAUGAGGAAAUUUGUAGUGGACCAACAGGGAGUAUGUGUGUACUCAAGCCUUGCCCCACACACAGUUUUUCUGAUCCAGACUUUCCUCAAGUUGCUUUCCACCACAUAUUCCCUAAAGGAGCAAAUGGCAGCUAAUCACUUAUAUGAAUUAUUAUUAAAGUAAGUGGCGCUGUGGGUUAAACCACAGAGUCUAGGACUUGCCAAUCAGAAGGUCGGUGGUUCGAAUCCCCGCGACGGGGUGAGCUCCCGUUGCUUGGUCCCUGCUCCUGUCAACCUAGCAGUUCGAAAGCACCUCAAAGUGCAAGUAGAUAAAUAGGUACCACUCCAGCGGGAAGGUAAACGGCGUUUCCGUGCACUGCUCUGGUUCGCCAGAAGCGGCUUAGUCAUGCUGGCCACAUGACCCGGAAGCUGUACGCCGGCUCCCUCGGCCAAUAAAGCGAGAUGAGCGCCGCAACCCCAGAGUCGGUCACGACUGGACCUAAUGGUCAGGGGUCCCUUUACCCUUUACCUUUAAGUAUGGGUAUUGUGGGAGAUUGCUAGGAUGGGGUCCAAACCCAACAACCUCCCCUGGUUUUCACAAUUUCUUGGUACAGUGGUACCUCGGGUUACAGACACUUCAGGUUACAGACUCAGCUAACCCAGAAAUAGUACCUUGGGUUAAGAACUUUGCUUCAGGAUAAGAACAGAAAUUGUGUGGCGGCAGUGGGAGGCCCCAUUAGCUAAAGUGGUGCUUCAGGUUAAUAACAGUUUCAGGUUAAGAAUGGACCUCCAGAACGAAUUAAGUUCUUAACCCGAGGUACCACUGUAAUAGCAAGCCUCAGCUCUCCCUUAGCAGACAUACUCAUUUUGUUGCCAUUUCCCUUUCUCCAUGCUGUCAUUUACUUCGUCAUAGGAUCAAGGUGGCCCCUACCUGCCUUGCCUUGCUCCCUCGUGCUCAUGGCAUUUCUUUUCAGAUUAAAUGUGAUGCCAGGGUUGGAGAUAAUCCUUCUCCCUGGUUACAGGUCUGUGGCUGGAAUAAACAGUUCCUUCCUUCCUGUGGUGCCAGAAAGUUAGAGAACCCAGGAAUUUGACUUUCUUCUGUUACCUUGUAAUGGGCAUGCCAUCGUAACCUAGCUCAGGAGUGAGAAACCUUCUGUCUGAGGGUCAGUCUCUUCUGAGCAACCUUCCAAGGACCACAUGCCAAUCAUGGUGGGGCGGAGGCAAAGGUGGGCGGAGCAAUUAAUGUAAAUUGUACCUUUGUGCUUCAUCCAUCAGGAGAAGCAGAGGGCAUGAUCAGAUUCCGAGGAUACUUUCCAGUCAGGCAAAGUCAUAGAAUCAUAGAAUUGAGGCGAGGAGAGUAGCCCACACAUUUGCCCGCUGUCAUAGCGCAACUUCUUUUGUUAUGGUGGUGCUUAAGUGGCAACCAUGAUCAUUAUCUCACAAAGAAACUGACUAGUUCAACAACUGAAUCCUCCAUUAGAUCUUAACUCCUACUGGGCACAGGAAGAAGGGGCUGAGGACGCCAUGCAGACCGACCACCCCACAAACUCACAACAGUAUCGUAAUGCUGUUCCCUAGUUCCCAACCUCAACUGCAAGGAACCCCGUAGGUGUGACCAUAUGUGUCUACAUCAGAGAAGGGGAAGCUGUAGCCCUGUGGUUGCUGUACUCCAGCUUCCAUCAGCCCCAGCCAGCAUAAUCAAUAGUCGAAGAUGAUGGAGUCCAGCAACAUCUGAAGCGUCACAGGUUCCUCAUCCCUGAUCUAUGUCACCAGGUGUCUUUGCAAAAAGAAGUCCUCCCUCUAGGUAACCCUAAGCCAUAAUCAUGAUAGGCAUUUUGCUUGUUCUUAAGAUAGCACAGAGAAACGUAUAAUUAUGUGGUUGUAAUGCUGCUCUAAAUGACUAGAAAGGAUGGAUAUAAUUGAAAAGGGAGAGUGCAUCUAUGUUAUCUGACUUAUGGACACCAGCUAAUAUAUUCUAAGCAUCAAAGGAAAAUAGAAAGAGCACAAAUAGACUAACCUCAUCAAUUACAUCAAAGCAACCAGAUUUCAUAAAUGGGGGGGGGGGGAUAUUGAAAUGUGAAUCAAAGAUGCAAACCUUCUCAUAGGUGAGAAGAAGAAUAUGUGCUCUUGUGUAAUAUAGCCUGCAUGACUCAAAUGCUUGUCUUCUAGUAUCCUCCCAUUUAUAAAAUGGUGCAUAAUUUCAGUUGUCCCUAUUUAUCAGGAAUAGUCCUGUUCUAUGACACAUCUUUCGUGGGCUGCAGAGCCUGAUCUCCCUGGGGAUGCCCUUGCAAAAUGUUGGGAUUGUGGUAAACUAGAGUUACCAUUCUUCUAGUUUCAAUCUCCCUUGCUCCUUAAACCUUUGAGUUGGGGAUGUGUGCAUUUUUAAGCCGAUAUUUCCAUCUCUCCACGGAUGUGCUAUAUAAGGUUUAAAAUUGAUUGCUGUUAAUCUAGCUGACUUUUUAGGGUUUUAGGAUUGCUUUAAAGGCUUAACAAGUGGGGCUCUGCAGCAAAGCGUUACAGAAUGGAGUGCGGCUGUUGAGAUUUUUAUUGCUAUUCCAUCCAGUUUUCUGCAACAAUCAUUCAGCCUCCCAUAUGCACAGAAUAUGCUCAGUCUGCAUUGGGCUGUUCAGGUUCUUCUGUCCCCCAUUCAGUUUUGUUUUUGUGAAUGUGGGGGAUUGGCACCCAAUCCCAGCUUCUCUUAACAUCAUGGAUUUCUUAAUUGACUUCUAUGGGCAGCUAUCUCUUCAGUCCUGGAUACAUUUUAAAAUGGCUAUUCAGUGUAAACCAGAAAAAUAGCCUACCUAGACAAUGGAAUAGUUAUCUCAACCUUUUUCUAUAUACCGACAUGCCUUCUUUUCCAGCCAAUCCACUCUGUUCCUCCUCCUACCAGCUUUGUGUUCCCCAACAGUCAGCCAAGCAAACAAUUCAAGCCCACUGAAUGAAUUCUGUCCUCACUGAGCUGUUUUGAGGUUUACCCUUUAGAGGGUGCUUUUAAAAAAAAACUGGGCAAAACUACCGUACUUUACACUUCUGGGGGUUUCCCUGAGUCUGUUGAUAACUCUCGUGUGUGUGUGUGUGCGUGUGUCCACAUGCUGUUGUGGCUUUGUAAGUGCUUGCCCUCUCCCCUAAAAGAUCAGAAAUAGAAUAUAAAGUGUUUGCAUUGUGCUCUUAUUUCUUUUCUUGUGUGCUCCUUUGAGUGCUCUUUGGCAGACAGUGCCCCUUGCAAAUGCCUGAAAUAAAUAUUAAAUAAUAAUCCUCUUGUUUAUCUCUUGAGCGCAGGCAUGUGAGCAGCGUGACUCUGGGGCGCUGUGUAGUGCAAAGCCUGCUGCCGCUUGCACAGUCCAUUUAUGUUGACUUUUUAAUCACAUUUAUAGCCCCCUUUUAAAAAUAAAACAAAUGACUUACAAUGUAGUGAACAUAAUUGAAUCGCAACUCAGAUCACAAUUAGAGAUCCUAAAAUCAACAUACACUAAAAAGAAACAUGAGGGAUAAAACUUCAAGCCAUAGAGCAAAAUGGUACUCAGACCCCUUGGAUCUAGUCCAACUCCUCAAAAGGUAAAGGUAAAGGUACCCCUGACAGUUAAGUCCAGUCAUGAACAACUCUGGAGUUGUGGUGCUCAUCUCACUUUACAGGCUAGGGGAGCCGGCGUUUGUCCGCAGGCAGCUUUUCCAGGUCAUGCGGCCAGCAUGACUAAGCCACUUCUGGUGAAGCCAGAGCAGCGCAGGGAAACGCCGUUUACCUUCCCAGCAGAGCAGUACCUGUUUAUCUACUUGCACUGGGUGCUUUUGAACUGCUAGGUUGGCAGGAACUCAUCCCGUCGUGGGGAUUCGAACCGCUGACCUUCCGAUCAGCAAGUCCAAGCAGCACAGUGGUUUAAACCACAGCGCCACCCACGUCCCAGUUAGUCUAACUCCUUAGUGUCUUCUUAUAAAGCAAGAAACUUGCAGUAAGAAGGGUGUCAGAAAAAGUAUCAUACAGUGGUACCUGGGGUUAAGAACUUACUUCAUUCUGGAGGUCUGUUCUUAACCUGAAACUGUUCUUAACCUGAAACUGUACCAUUUUAGCUAAUGGGGCCUCCCAUUGCUGUCGUGCCACCGCCACACGAUUUCUGUUCUCAUCCUGAAGCAAAGUUCUUAACCUGAGGUACUAUUUCUGGGUUAGCGGAGUCUGUAACCUGAAGCGUCUGUAACCUGAGGUACCACUGUAAUGGAAAGGUCUCUGACAGCCACUUGCCCGAAGAGUUUGCCCAUUCUCCUGAAGGACAGUCCAAACUAGAUGUUACGGGAAGCAUGUUUAAGAGUUUGUUUUUUCUCCUGUGUUCUGCCACAAAGCUUAGGACUUUGUAAGUCACCCAUGUGCCAAACCAUGUCAUUCAGUUAUGGAAUUCUGUUUCUUGUAGAGAUGCAUAAUGUCAUUCUACUGAUGAAGCUAAGCACGUGUGGGCUGGUAAGCAGAAGAGGAAACUUCAUGAGAACCAUUUUUAAGUUGC